This 429-nucleotide ribosomal RNA is filed under the name uncultured Pseudoxanthomonas sp. RNAcentral's name for it is "bacterial SSU rRNA". It matches the Rfam family "Bacterial small subunit ribosomal RNA", at positions 355 to 776 of the family's 1533-position model. The record is from RNAcentral. Lineage: Bacteria; Pseudomonadati; Pseudomonadota; Gammaproteobacteria; Lysobacterales; Lysobacteraceae.
UGGGGAAUAUUGGACAAUGGGCGCAAGCCUGAUCCAGCCAUACCGCGUGGGUGAAGAAGGCCUUCGGGUUGUAAAGCCCUUUUGUUGGGAAAGAAAACUUGCGGGCUAAUACCCAGCAAGUCUGACGGUACCCAAAGAAUAAGCACCGGCUAACUUCGUGCCAGCAGCCGCGGUAAUACGAAGGGUGCAAGCGUUACUCGGAAUUACUGGGCGUAAAGCGUGCGUAGGUGGUUGUUUAAGUCUGUCGUGAAAGCCCUGGGCUCAACCUGGGAAUUGCGAUGGAUACUGGGCGACUAGAGUGUGGUAGAGGAUAGUGGAAUUUCCGGUGUAGCAGUGAAAUGCGUAGAGAUCGGAAGGAACAUCUGUGGCGAAGGCGACUAUCUGGGCCAACACUGACACUGAGGCACGAAAGCGUGGGGAGCAAACAGG